UGGUUGAUCCUGAUGUUAUAGGCGGAGGCGGAGGACGUGGGGGCGGCGGCGCGAGCAAGCCAGGCGAGAAGGCCGAAGGGGCGAUUGGGCGAAGACGCGAGGUGGUCAGGGGCGAUUUAGGGAGAGGGGAAACCACGAAAGAUAGGUCACGGGCACGGUCCGGUAGAGAGCGCACGGGCUCGACCAGAUCCGCCGCCACCCCUUCUGCGUGUGGCCAGGCCGUCCGCCGCCGCCGCCCCUUCCGGCCGACACCGCCUCUAGGAGAGGCGCCCGUGGCUCCCAGUGCUCGUCCGACCGUGCUCCUCCAGAUGGAGAAGAGGAGGCCGCCGCGGCCCCUGCGCUCGUUUGGCCUCCGCCUGUCUGCCGCUGCAAGGAAGAGAUAAGGCCACUGGCUGCGACCCUUGCGCUCGUCUGGCGCCUGCCCUCCGCCCGUCCGCCGCCACAAGGAGAGGCGGCUGCUGCCCCCCUGCGCUCGUCCGCCAGCCGCCACACCUCAAGUCCUCAAGCCGAAGCUCUCUUGCCGCUGCGCGUCCACCCUCCUCCGCCUGGAGCUUCAAGUCACUGCGCCACUGGAGAUGGGUGUGUUAAACAUCAGGAUGGACCAGAGGCUACUGCACUGUAGACAUUGCCACCGACGCCGACACCCACCCCUCCCGCCCGCCGACACUCACUGCUUUUUAUUGGACAGAAUCAUCCAUCAGAUGAGGGGAGAGUGCAUCCUCGCCACAAGUGCCCUUGUGUGUUCUGAAUGCGGCCUUCCUCUCCGACCUCCCAUUUUCAGGGCGAGCUCAGCUCUGCCCUGCCCUGACUGAAUGAAUUUGGAUGCAGUUUGGUUUGGUUUUAUUUGAUUUUGGCUUCAUGCUAUCCUGCCGUUGUUGCAGUGUCUCCCUCGGAAAAUUCCUAUUUGUAGUGCCUGCUGCCAUAAUGGUGAUGUCACCAGCUACCGUCACAGUCGUGAGCUCGAACACCUCAUCCAAGGCAUCACGGUGAAAUGCAAGGCUUGCAAACAAUACCUUCCAUUCUCCACCUUUGCUUCGCACAAGCUGGUCAACUUGUGUGAUUCCAUUCUUAUGAAGCUAAGGAAGUAGUCCACUAUCAGAAAUUAUCGCCAAAGAGUUUAGCUAAAUCUGUUCUUGAGGAAGGUGGCUGGUCAAACUUGAUGUGUGCAAAGGAGGAUGCUCAGAAGAAUGUUGAUGUUGCCAUUGUUUUUCUUGGCUCAAAGGUACUUAUUUGAUAGCGAUAUAUUUUUUUUAAUUUUUCACUGGUUUGAAAUUAUCUGCCUGUGCAAAUAUUGUUUGAAUUAGAUAUUUUUUUUAA
Molecule: long non-coding RNA, 1317 nt
Organism: Panicum hallii
Lineage: Eukaryota; Viridiplantae; Streptophyta; Magnoliopsida; Poales; Poaceae
Exons: 5
Source: RefSeq, a predicted model, not a curated record